UGUCUGUAGUAAAAGUUAUUAUGGUUGCCUUCCAAGCAAAAGUUCCGUUGGUUUCGGCAGAUACU
This 65-nucleotide transfer RNA is filed under the name Perna perna. Its description in RNAcentral is "tRNA-Gly". Lineage: Eukaryota; Metazoa; Mollusca; Bivalvia; Mytilida; Mytilidae. The record is from RNAcentral.